Callithrix jacchus (white-tufted-ear marmoset) is the source of this 6018-nucleotide non-coding RNA. NCBI's taxonomy places the organism in Eukaryota, Metazoa, Chordata, Mammalia, Primates, Cebidae. The record is from RefSeq and is a predicted model, not a curated record.
GAAACAGAUAUAAAUUGAUUUCAUUUCCAAGGGCUUUUAAGAAAUGUAGCUUUAUUUUAGGUUGCAGCUAAUUUUGAAUUGUUCCUUUUAGCAGAAGCUUAAAACAUAGUUAAAAAAAAAUUAAAGAUGAGAGUUUCAAUGUUGCAAUCUAGGGAAAAAUUGCAGUGUAACAGUGAAGCAUUUUCCCUUUUUCUUUACUUUUUUUUCUCUUUUUUUGGUCAUGGGGAGCGGGGAAAUGCCAUCAACACUCUCUCUGCCAUAUGCUUCAACUUUCAUGUCUGUUUUGCCAUCAUCUAUUCCAUUAACAUUAUGAUUAAUGAAACCUCACUAGAAUUUCAAAUAUAUUGAAAAGUAGCCAAUGCCAGCUCUUUGGAGGCUACAAUGAAAAUAAAUAACAAUAAAAACAGGGUGACUUAGGCUUUUGAAGUCUUUAAAGAAACCAUGACUCUGAUCUUUACUACUGCUGCAGAAGAGAGGACAACACUCCACAUUUCUGGCAUUGUAAGUGACAACACUGCAACUGAAAGAAAGCUUGAAUUUCUGCGAGCAGCUUUGGGAUACAGGACUCCUGCUGAGCUCACCAGUUCCUUGCUCUACACAGCUGCUUUCUCAGCUGGGGUUUUGAAAUUAGCACUGUGAGAAAAGACAGAAAUGACCAGGAUGCAUCUUGCUCACUAUGAGAAAAAGAGUAACAUGCAGUCCACGAGCUGGAGAGCCAAUCUGGUACUUUAAAAGGGAAGAUUCUUGCUUUCUUGAAGCAACAUAGCAUCUCAGGGUGGUGGUUGAGUACCAUAAAAACAGAGAUGUAUGUUCUCUACAUGCUGGAAGCAGUCAUCCUGUUGCUAAGGAAACAGCCUCACUCAGCAAGGGUCACCUUUGGAAACAACCGCAAGACUUCAAAGCAGAUAAAUAGAGAAAUACCAAGUCCCGAACUUCCUAGCUAAUGUUGUCUUCUGUUUUAAAUAUCCUUUUCAACAAAGGUUUGCUUAUGUGAUUUCUGUUUAGUGGGCAGUAGCAAGGCAAAAUUGAAUAUGUAGUAAGUCGAGCCCAGUAUCUUUCAAGCUCUGGCUGUUGGAGAUCUGUGGCUUUUGGUAGAUGCUUUGAGUGUGGGAUUGUGCAGGAACAGCAGGAUGGAGAUGGACUGACAUCAGGUUUACAAAGAGACGCUGAAUUUAUGACUUCGUUUGAAGGAAAGGUUCCACUCAUUAAAAAAUGCAGAGUCUUAACUCAUAGAAGCAUAUGUCAUUACUCAUUUGUCCACAUUAGUGAGAUUUUCUAAUUUGUGAAAAGUCUUGUCAUAUCUUAGGUUUAUGCACAUUUUUGUAUUACUGAAGCAGACUUCAUUCGUGCAUCCAUUUAUUCAUUCAUUUGUGAUAUAUCUUUGAUUUCCUACUGUUUCAGGUACUCUGGGGAUAAGAAGUGAAUAGAACAUAUUUAAGGUCUGGGGGACUCAAUCUGAAGAAGAAAGCAGAUAUGGAAACAAAGCAGUGGAAUUACUUGCAGAGGGGACACAAGGAGAUGCUUAUAAUUUUGUCCUGAAGAGGCCAUGAGGAUAAAUUUGCCUGACCUUCAGAGUGCCCUUCUUGGGAAUGCUUCUUCUUUGUUGGUUCUACCAUAUUUUUACAAAUAACAAGAAAUAUCAGGUUUUGGGGUACAUGUGAAGAACAUGCAAGAUGGUUGCAUAGGUACACACGUGGCAGUGUGCUUUGCUGCCUUCCUCCCCUUCACCUAUAUUUGGCAUUUCUCCCCUUGCUAUCUCUUCCCAACUCCCCACUCCCUGCUGUCCCUCCCCUAUUUCCCCCCAACUGCCCCCAGUGUGUGAUGCUCCCCUCCCUGUGUCCAUGUGUCCUCAUUGUUCAACACCUGCCUAUGAGUGAGAACAUGUGGUGUUUGAUUUUCUGUUCUUGUGUCAGUUUGCUGAGAAUGAUGGUUUCCAGGUUCAUCCAUGUUCCUGUUUGAUUUUUUAAUUGCAUUGAAUUCUUUAGCCAAUUUAGCAAUCACUGCAUGAAUAGAAUAUUUCCAUGCAACCCAAAACAACUAUCAUAAAGAAACUGCAAAAGCAAAGUAAACUCACAAUGACAAGGGAAGUGAUGAUUUUUUUUAAUUAUAGGAGACUUGAUGUACUUUACAUCAAGUUAGUAGAAAACUAAUGUGAUGAUUGGUCUACAACUGAUUAGACUUUCUAUGAAUUCUUUUACCCUGUCAUCCAGUUCAUAAUUCUCAUGCUCUUUAUCUCAAAUUUAGUCAUCGUAAUAAAGCUCAUGGCACUAAGUCCAUGGGAGUACGUAUUUCUCUCACCUACACCAUUAUAUCAUCUCAAGCUAUAACAUUUCCUAGCAAGCCAACUUUCUUGCAAGUCAAUAUGUGUUGUUGACUUGAAUUCGUGCUUAUAUGUUUUGAUGGGUCAGUUCUACUUCCUUCGUGGUAAAAAGUUUGUUGUUAUUUAAUUUGAUUUAAUAUUCUAUUGACAUUAAGUAAUUUUACUAAUAUGGAGAUAUCUGUCCAAUGUUAUAAUGAUGGAUUAUUUUUACAACAAAAAUGCAUGGCUAAUUUGUUUUUUUAAAUAAAGACCAAUAUAAUAAAGUCUAAAAUAAACAAGAAGUCUAAUAGGAAAUGAUGAAGAGAUUUAUUAGCUUUUAUUAUGGUCUCAAAAUAUGGUCUAAUUAACAGCACGGAACUCAGUCAAUGCUACAGUCAUAGUGGCUAAAAUAGAAUAAACAAAGGAACAAAUGAUUAUGUUAUUUCUUGCCAUCAAUUAUCAUGCCAUAUAUAUAUUUCACAUCCAUUUGUACUCUGUUCCCAAAAUAAAGUUUUAUGUUGACUGAAAUGUAAACUCAUCCUUUAAAAUUAAGACAUUACCACUGACUCCACAGAAAUACACAUAGACACACACACACACAUGGUGACUAUUAUGAACACCUCCAUGCACAGAAACUAGAAAAUUUAGAAGAAAUGGAUAAAUUCCUGGACAUAUUUAACCUCUGAAAACUGGACCAGGAAGAAAUUGAAUCCUGAACUCAGAAAUAAGUUCUGAACUUGAAUGAGUAAUAAAGAUCCCAUCAACCACAAAAAGCCCAAGACUAGAUGGAUUCACAGCCAAAUUCUACCAGAGGUAUAAAUAAGAGCUGGUACCAACCUUGCUGAACUGUUCCAAAAAAUUGAGGAACAAAGACUUCUCAUCAACUCAUUCUAUGAGGCUAGUAUCCUGAUAUCAAAACCUGGCAGAGACACAGCAGAAAAAGAAAACUUCAGGCCAAUAUUUUUUUAUGAACAUAGAUGCAAAAAUUCUCAACAAAAUAUGAGCAAACUGAAUCCAGCAGCACUUAAAAAAGUGAAUCCACCACAAUCAAGUAGGCUUUAUCCCCAGACUAUGAGGCUGGUUCAACAUAUGCAAAUCAAUAAAUGUGAUUCAUUACAUCAACAGAGCUAAAGACAAAAGCUAUAGUUACUCAAUAGAUGCAGAAAGACUUCCAAUAAAAUUCAACAUUCCUUCAUGUUAGAAACCCUUUACAAACCAGGCACUGAAAGAACAUAUUUCAAAAUAAUAAGAGUCAUCUAUGAUGAACCCACAGCCAACAUUAUACUGAAAGGAGAAAAACUGGAAGUAUUCCCCUUGAAAACUGGCAAUAGACAAGGUUGCCCUCUCUCAUCACUUCUAUUCAACAUACUAUUGAAAAUCUUAGGCAGAGAAAUCAGGCAAGAGAAAUAAAUAAUGGGCAUCCAAAUAAGAGAAUUCAGAGUAUCCCUGUUGGCAGACAACAUGAUUCUAUAUCUAGAAAACCCAAUAGUCUCUGCCCAAAAGCUCCUUGGGCUGAUAAACCACUUCAUUAAAGUUUCAGAAUACAAAAUCUACAUACAAAAAUCAGUAGCAUAUCUAUAUCUCAACAACUUCCAAAUAGAGAGCCAUAUCAGCAACACAAUCAGAUUCACAAUUGCCAAAAAAAAAAAAAAGAAUAAAACACCUGGGAAUACAGCUAACCAUGGAGGUUAAACAAGAAUUUCUUGCUCUCCAGCAAGAAUUACAAAAUACUGCUGAAAGAAAUCAUAGAUGACACAAACAAAUUGAAAAACACUCUAUGCUCAUGGAUAGGAAGAAUCAAUAUUGUUAAAAUGGCUGUUCUACCCAAAGCAAAUUACAGUUUCAAUGCUAUUCCUCUUAAACUACCAAUGACAUUAUAUUAGUCUGUUCUCACACUGCUAUGAAGAAAUGCCCAAGACUGGGUAAUUUUUAAAGGGAAGAGGUUUAAUUGACUCACAGUUCUACAUUUUUGGGGAGGCCCCAGGAAACUUACAAUCAUGGUGGAUGGCAAAAGAGAAGCAGGCACCUUCUUCACAAGGUGGCAGGAUGGAAAAAUGCCUAGUGAAGGGGGAAGAGCCCCUUAUAAAACCAUCAGAUCUUAUGAGAACCUCAUUCACUAUCAUGAGAACAGCAUGGGGGGAACUGACACCAUGAUCCAAUUACCUCCACCUGGUCCCACACUUGACACAUGGGGAUUAUGGGAUUAUGGAAAUUACAAUUCAAGAUGAGAUUUGGGUGGGGAGACAAAGACUAACCAUAUUGAACAUUCUUCCCAGAAUUAGAAAAAAAUUUUUUUUUAAUUUACAUGGAACCAAAAAGAGCCUGAAUAGCCUAAGCAAAAGGAACAAAGCUGGAGACAUCAUGCUAUUUUACUUGAAGCUACUGUAGGGAUACAGCAACCAAAACACCAUGGUAUUGGUACAGAAACAGACACAUCACCAUUGGAACAGAAUAGAGAACCCAGAAAUAAAGCCACACACCUACAGCCAUCUGAUCUUGGAAAAAACUGACAGAAAUAAGCAAUGAAGAAAGGACUCCUCAUUCAACAAAUGGUGCUGGGAUAACUGGCUAGUAAUAUGCAGAAGCUUGAAAUUAGACCCCUACCUUGCAACACAUACAAAAAUCAGCUCAAGAUCAAUCAAAGACUUAAAUGGAAAACCUAAAACUAUAAAAACCGUGGAAGAUAACCUAGGAAAUAUCAUUAUGGACAUAUAGGACUUGGCAAAGAUUUCAUGAUGAAGACACCAAAAGCGAACAACAAAACCAAAAAUUGAAAAAUGGGAUCUAAUUAAAUAAAAGAACUUCUGUACACUGAAAGGGAUUAUCAACAGAAUAAACAGACAAACCACAGAAUGGGAGAAAAGUUUUGCAAGCUAUUGACAAAGGCCCAAUAUUCAGAAUCUACAAGAAAUUGAAACAAUUUUACAGAAGAAAAAGAAACAACCCCAUUAAAAAGUGAGCAAUGGACAUGAACAGACACUUCUCAAAAGAAGACAUUCAUGCAGCCAAAAAACAUGAAAAAAUGCUCAACAUCGUUGAUCAAUAGAGAAAAGCAAAUAAAAAGCACAAUGAAGUACCAUCUCAUACCAGUCAGAAUGGCUAUUACUAAAAAGUCAGAGAAUAACUGAUGCCGGGGAAGUUAUAGAGAAGAAGCAAUGCUUCUAUACUGCUGGUGUAAAUGUAAAUUAGUUCAGCCAUUGUGGAAAGCAACAUGACAAUUCCUCAAAGAACUUAAAACAGAAUUACCAUUUGGUAUAUAUAUAUAAUCUAGCAAUCCUAUCACUGGGUGUAUACCCACAGGAAUAGAAGUUGUUCUUAAAGACACAUGCAUGCAUAUAUUAAUUGUGGAACUAUUUAUAAUAGCAAAAAUAUUGAAUCAACCUAAAUGCCCAUCAGUGACACACUGGAUAAAGAAAAUGUGUUACAGACAGCAUGAAAUACUAUACAGCCAUAGAAAGGACAAGAUCAUGUUCUUUGCAGCAACAUGGUCAGAGCUGGAGGCUAUUAUCCUCAGCAAAGUCACACAGGAACAGAAAGAUAAAUACCACAUGUUUGCAUUUAUAAGUGGGAGCUAAACAAGGACAUGUGGAUACUAGAAGAGGAACAACAGACACUGGGGCCCACUUGAAGCUGAAAGGUGGGAAGAGAGAGAGGAUCAGAAGAAGUAUCUAUCAGGUACUAGGCUUAUUACCCAAGUGAUGAAAUUAUCUGUAUACCAA